GCUGACGUAGCUCAGUGGAUAGAGCAUUUGCCUCCGGAGCAAAGGGCCGUGGGUUCGAGUCCCUCCGUCAGCG
Molecule: transfer RNA, 73 nt
Filed under: Chloroflexota bacterium
Lineage: Bacteria; Bacillati; Chloroflexota
Description: tRNA-Arg
Rfam family: tRNA
About the family: Transfer RNA (tRNA) molecules are approximately 80 nucleotides in length.
Source: RNAcentral